Quercus lobata is the source of this 1087-nucleotide long non-coding RNA. RefSeq lists it as uncharacterized. NCBI's taxonomy places the organism in Eukaryota, Viridiplantae, Streptophyta, Magnoliopsida, Fagales, Fagaceae. The transcript has 3 exons. The record is from RefSeq and is a predicted model, not a curated record.
CGAAGCUAUCUAAGUUUAUAAGCAGGAGCGAGAGUACUAGGCUUGUCCCUUCGGGGACAUCCGAUAAAAUUGGAACGAUACAGAGAAGAUUAGCAUGGCCCCUGCGCAAGGAUGACACGCAUAAAUCGAGAAAUGGUCCAAAUUUUUUUCUUUACCCAAAAUUUCCCAAACCCAUUUGUGAAUUCUUCCAUGGCUUCGUUCUUUUACACUUUCUCCAUCUUCACAUACGUUUUGGAGUCUUUCUCAACAGGCCUUUUAAGGAGAAGUAUGGAAUGCCAACAGGCGCCUUCUAAUCAAUUGAUUCUCUAGCCAGGGUGGUGCAAACAUUUUAAGAUGCUGGUGCAGAGUUAUAUUGACAAAGCCGAGGAAAUCAAUUAGAACCAUGAAGCAAGGCAAAUAAAGAGAAUCCUGAUAUGCUGAUGAAGGUGUGGUGUGCCUAAUUUCCUUAGGUUACGAUUUGAUUUUCUUUUAAGAGGAAGAAAAAACUAUGACAGUUGCUCACUUAUAGGAAUGCAGAAUGAUAAAAAAUUAUGACAGUUUCCAGUGUGAUUCCUCCAUGUGAUGAAUAACUGUUAACAGUCCAGAUCAAAUCCUACAGUCAAUAAAUAUAUCCAUCCAACAUACGCACACACAUCAUUGUGUAAUUAGUCUCUCUAGCUAUGAGGGGUUGGGACCUAAAGCUGUGUAGUGUGCCACUAAAUGACCCACUGGGAAUAGUUCUGGAUUUAUACAUAUAAACAUUGCUUUAAUGUAAAGGAUUUGGUGCUUUGUUUAUGUUAAUUCUUUGUUUUUGGCAGUGGUUGUUGGUGUUUCUAUACUCUCUUUUGUUUUACAGGAACACAGUAGCUUAGUUAUGAUGGCUGGUUGGUUUCUCCCACCACCGUGGUAGAACAUAGCAAAAGAUGUUCUUCCAGUUGCGUAGAAAUCUUGAAUGAGGAAUUUAUUUGGAGGGAAAGAAUUUAUCCUCACCUAUCCAUCAGGUCAUGUGAAUAUGUGACCAAGUCCAAGUCUGAACGUACCAUUUUUUUUUUUUUUUUUUUUCAGUCUUCCAUUUGUAUUUUUUUUUCCUUUUAUAUAUAUUGUUAUA